RNAcentral lists this ribosomal RNA (253 nucleotides) under uncultured bacterium. Its description in RNAcentral is "partial 16S ribosomal RNA". It matches the Rfam family "Bacterial small subunit ribosomal RNA", at positions 524 to 776 of the family's 1533-position model. The record is from RNAcentral.
UACGUAGGGUGCGAGCGUUAAUCGGAAUUACUGGGCGUAAAGCGUGCGCAGGCGGUUUUGUAAGCCAGAUGUGAAAUCCCCGGGCUUAACCUGGGAAUGGCAUUUGGGACUGCAAGGCUUGAGUGCGGCAGUGGAGACUGGAAUUCCUGGUGUAGCAGUGAAAUGCGUAGAUAUCAGGAGGAACACCGAUGGCGAAGGCAGGUCUCUGGGCUGACACUGACGCUCAUGCACGAAAGCGUGGGGAGCAAACAGG